This 88-nucleotide transfer RNA is filed under the name Chloroflexota bacterium. RNAcentral's name for it is "Chloroflexi bacterium (cold seep metagenome) tRNA-Tyr". It matches the Rfam family "tRNA". From Rfam's summary of the family: Transfer RNA (tRNA) molecules are approximately 80 nucleotides in length. Their secondary structure includes four short double-helical elements and three loops (D, anti-codon, and T loops). The record is from RNAcentral. Lineage: Bacteria; Bacillati; Chloroflexota.
GGAGGGGUGCCGGAGUGGUUAAUCGGAGCAGUCUGUAAAAUUGCCGCCUGAAAGGGCUACGUUGGUUCAAAUCCAACCCCCUCCACCA